RNAcentral lists this ribosomal RNA (497 nucleotides) under uncultured bacterium. RNAcentral's name for it is "partial 16S ribosomal RNA". It matches the Rfam family "Bacterial small subunit ribosomal RNA", at positions 28 to 507 of the family's 1533-position model. The record is from RNAcentral.
GAUGAACGCUGGCGGCGUGCUUAAUACAUGCAAGUCGAGCGAACAGACGAGGCGCUUGCUCCUCUGACGUUAGCGGCGGACGGGUGAGUCACACGUGGAUAACCUACCUAUAAGACUGGGAUCACUUCGGGAAACCGGAGCUAAUACCGGAUAAUCUAUUGAACCGCAUGGUUCAAUAGUGAAAGACGGUUUUGCUGUCACUUAUAGCUGGAUCCGCGCUGCUUUAGCUAGUUGGUAGGGUAACGGCUUACCAAGGCAACUAUGCGUAGCCGACCGGCGAGGGUGAUCGGCCACACUGGAACUGGAACACGGUCCAGGGUCCUACGGGAGGCAGCAGUAGGGAAUCUUACGCAAAGGGCGAAAGCUUGCCGGAGCGACGCCACGUGAGUGAUGAAGGUCUUCGGAGCGUAAAACUCUGUUAUGGGGGAAGAACAAAUGUGUAAGGAACUAUGCACGUCGUGACGGUACCUAAUCAGAAAGCCACGGCUAACUACGUG